RNAcentral lists this ribosomal RNA (253 nucleotides) under uncultured bacterium. RNAcentral describes it as "partial 16S ribosomal RNA". It matches the Rfam family "Bacterial small subunit ribosomal RNA", at positions 524 to 776 of the family's 1533-position model. The record is from RNAcentral.
UACAGAGGGUGCGAGCGUUAAUCGGAAUUACUGGGCGUAAAGCGCGCGUAGGCGGCUUUGCAAGUCGGGUGUGAAAUCCCCAGGCUUAACCUGGGAACUGCAUUCGAGACUGCAUUGCUAGAGUAUGGGAGAGGGAGGUGGAAUUUCCGGUGUAGCGGUGAAAUGCGUAGAUAUCGGAAGGAACAUCAGUGGCGAAAGCGACUUCCUGGACCAAUACUGACGCUCAUGUGCGAAAGCGUGGGGACCAAACAGG